CUCUGGGGAGGUGGGCGCCACCGCGGCACACGGGGCACACGGGGGAACGAUCCAGUGCGGCGGAGUCCUUCGCACUCGGACAAAACACCAGCGUCUGUUCACUCACCUCGCGCCCGUUAGCCUCGGACCCCAGGCGCGCAAGGCCGGAAGUGAGGCCUUCCUUGCCGCGCGAGCGUACAAAGGAAGCCGAGCCCCAUUCGCGUCGGAACGAGAUUGGGUGGCGCCCCCUGCGACUUGGGGUGGGAGCGCAGCGGCUCACGCCAGCCAGCGGGGCGAUGCGUCCCAGGGCUGUGCGGCCAGGAACCACCGAGAGUCGGCACCGCCGGGGAGAAAGGGCAUACUUCUGUACGGCCUGCAACAAAGGCCCGCUGGUGUUUUAAAAAUAGGUUUCAGCCGGUGUUGGAGACUUCUGGCCCUCAGACGCAGGGAGGAUGGCCAACACCGGGGCUGUUUGUACAAGCCAUGGCAGCAGGGAAAGUGGUGUGAAACAUGUUGAGGCAACAGCAAAGGCCACCAGGUUCCAAGAGAAAGGCAGUUUGGAGGAGAAGCAUGAGAAAGGAGGAUCUUAAAUGUCUUCACCACAAAAAAGAAAUGGCAAUUAUGUGAGGUGAAAGCCCUGAAGGACUGGAUGGUAAACAGCCAUGUAAAUCUCAGCUGAUGAUGGUGCCCCCCUUUCCUGAGCUGAAGGUUGAACAAGGAAUGCCAGAUCCUUGGAAGUCAAGAAGAGUUUAUGAAACUUUUCAUUUAUGCAGAGCAGCCCUUGGUUCAAAGCUGUGGGAAAAUAUGUUAGCCUGUUCUCAAAGAGAUUAUAUUCUAUUUUGGAAUACCUAUAUGGAACAACUCCUAUCUUUGAAAUUUUACCAUGUACCCCUUUUCUGCAUACAUGAACUCGCUCUGAUCCAGGAUGACUGACUUGCACAUUUUAUAGAUUUAAUUUUGAUGACAGUUCCAUGAGACUGUUGUAUUUUACUUUCCUCAUUUUCACCUGAGGAAAAAAGAGGCACAGAGUGGUAAGGACCUUGUCUGAGGCUACGCAGCUUGAAACUGGCAGAUCCAGGCAUAUUCUGUAGGGAUUCAACAAAGGAAGGGCUGGCUUCAUGGGGUCCGGAUUUUCUGAUCAUCCUGAUGGAUCCUCUCCCCAUUUCUCAAUUUUUCUCCUCUAGAAUUAAAUUCCAUUCUGACUGUGAUCCCAGCCCCCAGGCUAGCCAGCCACAGUCAAGUAGAAAGAAACACACAGCAAUACUUCUGAAAAUCAG
Long non-coding RNA from Canis lupus familiaris (dog), 1256 nucleotides. RefSeq lists it as uncharacterized. The record is from RefSeq and is a predicted model, not a curated record. NCBI's taxonomy places the organism in Eukaryota, Metazoa, Chordata, Mammalia, Carnivora, Canidae. The transcript has 3 exons.